RNAcentral lists this unclassified non-coding RNA (329 nucleotides) under soil metagenome. RNAcentral describes it as "partial contains 5.8S ribosomal RNA, internal transcribed spacer 2, and large subunit ribosomal RNA". The stretch from base 1 to 120 matches the Rfam family "5.8S ribosomal RNA", at positions 35 to 154 of the family's 154-position model. The record is from RNAcentral.
GAUGAAGAACGUAGCGAAAUGCGAUAAGUAUUGUGAAUUGCAGAAUUCAGUGAAUCAUCGAAUCUUUGAACGCACAUUGCGCCCCCUGGUAUUCCGGGGGGCAUGCCUGUUCGAGCGUCAUUACAACCCUCAAGCUCUGCUUGGUAUUGGGCCCCGCCAGUUCUGGCGGGCCCUAAAGUCAGUGGCGGUGCCUUCCGGCUCCGAGCGUAGUAAUUCUUCUCGCUCUGGAGACCCGGUUGUGUGCUUGCCAACAACCCCCAAUUUUUUAAGGUUGACCUCGGAUCAGGUAGGGAUACCCGCUGAACUUAAGCAUAUCAAUAAGCGGAGGA